This is an RNA transcript of Bemisia tabaci, 1297 nucleotides long. RefSeq lists it as uncharacterized. NCBI's taxonomy places the organism in Eukaryota, Metazoa, Arthropoda, Insecta, Hemiptera, Aleyrodidae. The record is from RefSeq and is a predicted model, not a curated record.
UCAGCCGCGUUCCCAUUCCGAAAUGGACCGGAUCCCGAUCGGCUCCAGACGAGAAUCGCUGAGUGCUAGAGAUCGCGCGCGCCUGCCCCAACCCCAGCCCCAGCCCCCUCUCUCCCGAGGAUUUGGAUUUUCACACCCCCGGACGCACCUCACCCCGCCUCGAGAAUGAUAUAUUUAACAGCGAUCGCGGUUAUCUUAACCUCGGUUCUGGCGGACACGCGCUAUGGGCGAUUCUGGCCGGAAGAGCCGACGACUCAAGGCGAGGACGAGAUAUCGACGGACGCGAUGGACAUGAGCGGGAACUCGACGCAAACAGCCCUCGAGGACCAAGCCACGACAGUGAUAGACGACCUCCUCAACCUCCUCGACAAGGCGGAGCAAGGCGCCGGCGGCAUGGACGUGGCUCCCGAGGACCCGGCCGCCUCCACGAGCAGCACCACCGCCUCCACCACCUCCACGACCUCCACCACGACCGCCAUGACGACCUCCACGUCCACGGCCACGUCCACGACGACGACGACAACGACGACGUCGACGGCCCGGCCGACGCCGGCGCGGACCCCGGCCACGACGACGGCGGCGGCGCCGUGGUACAGCGUCGGGGCCGAGGGGGCGUCCACGGUCGGCGUCGGCGGGGCCCGCCGGACGGCCUACCACCUCGUCCCCAACGGCGCCAACCCCGGGCGCCGCCCCCCCGUCCACCCCAACGCCCUCACGACGAGUCGAGCGCACCCUAGCGGAGGGCGGGUGAACCAGGUGCCGAACCUCAUCCCGAGCCAAUGGACGGUGAAGAACCGGACGGCCUACGACCUCCAGACCACGCUGCGCUCCCAGGGGAAGCGAAUCCCACUGCUCAAGGACCGGGACCUUGAGCGGGCGGCCACGGCUCGGGCCGCGCAGUGGCCAGGGCGUGGAGCUCCGCCGCCGCCCACCCGCACCACCCAGCACACCCCCGCCCCCGCCCCCAGCGUUUCCGCCAGGAUAUACUACAACGACCUCGAGUACAGGCUCUGAAACGCUCCCAAUUUGUACAAAGUGUAAAAAUAUCAACACCAAAUAGAGAACAGCUGAUGUAAAGGUUUUCCCGGACUUUUCAAAAUUCCCUGACAUUUCCCGUUUUCCCAGUAUUCUCUGACUGUGGCAACCCUGUAAAUGACUGCGCAGAGGGGCGCAACGGGAGGGGAGGCAGAACUUUGGCAACACGGCGAAGGAGACGAGGCGUAUAAGCAUGCAUUUGUGUGAAAGACACUGAAAAACAAAUAAAACGGAGACGAUUUCUAAAGCGUUUUGCUUGGCA